GUGGCAGGUCGCGAGCUUCUGAGGCUUCACCGGAGCUACGGGAGCAGAGGCAAGGUCGGCCACUAGGACCGGGGCUCCCGAGGGAGGAAAACUUACACGGGCCUGAAAGCGGGCGGCGAAAUUCCUUACUCGGGAAGACUGACUGCAGCCACCACGUCUUCGCGUUUGCAUGCCAGGGAUACCAAGAAGAGUGACAGCAUCUGUGCUCAAGUGUAUAAAAGCACCCAGCACAAGCCAAAUCCAAGGGCUGGUCUGGCACUCACAGGAGGUUACCAGACCUGACCUCUUGUUCACAAAGUGGUAAGUGACCUUAACAGCACCUAUCCUGGAGAUGUUGGUGCUGGCAAAGACCUCACUGACCACCAGGGCCAAUUGGUCUGGAUCACUGCUUAUGGCCUUGAGGACCGUGUAGGGGGGCAUGCCAAGAGGAACUGUUCUGUUCUCAAGCAGAGUUGAGAGCUGAAGGUCUGUAAAGAUGCCCAAGAUGAUGAUGGUGUCCCCAGUGCCCGGAACGUGGAUGGUGCUAUAUCUGGAGAGGGACAGAAGUGAAACCCUCAUCAUGAAACCAUAGAGGGAGAGACACUCACCCACACCUUCUGCCUCCCGAAGGUCACUGAGCACUGGUAACCAUAGAGAAUAAAGAGCGGGCGGAACAAA
Molecule: non-coding RNA, 657 nt
Organism: Macaca mulatta (Rhesus monkey)
Lineage: Eukaryota; Metazoa; Chordata; Mammalia; Primates; Cercopithecidae
Source: RefSeq, a predicted model, not a curated record